UACGGAGGGUGCAAGCGUUAAUCGGAAUUACUGGGCGUAAAGCGCGCGUAGGCGGCUUAUUAAGUCGGAUGUGAAAUCCCCGGGCUCAACCUGGGAAUGGCCUCCGAGACUGGUAAGCUAGAGUGCAAGAGAGGGUGGUGGAAUUUCUAGUGUAGCGGUGAAAUGCGUAGAUAUUAGAAGGAACAUCAGUGGCGAAGGCGACCACCUGGCUUGACACUGACGCUGAGGUGCGAAAGCAUGGGGAGCAAACAGGAUUAGAUACCCUGGUAGUCCAUGCCGUAAACGAUGUCUACUAGCCGUUGGGACCCUUGAGGUUUUAGUGGCGCAGUUAACGCGAUAAGUAGACCGCCUGGGGAGUACGGCCGCAAGGUUAAA
This 375-nucleotide ribosomal RNA is filed under the name uncultured bacterium. RNAcentral describes it as "bacterial SSU rRNA". It matches the Rfam family "Bacterial small subunit ribosomal RNA", at positions 524 to 898 of the family's 1533-position model. The record is from RNAcentral.